Long non-coding RNA from Neltuma alba, 183 nucleotides. RefSeq lists it as uncharacterized. NCBI's taxonomy places the organism in Eukaryota, Viridiplantae, Streptophyta, Magnoliopsida, Fabales, Fabaceae. The transcript has 3 exons. The record is from RefSeq and is a predicted model, not a curated record.
AUCAACCAUGUAGAAAAAUUUUCUUGUCCCAUUUUUAUUUCAAGGAUUGGAGGACAAGGUUGUGCCUCCAGAUCAAGCUCGGAAAAUUUACCGCGUUGAAAGAAAAGGGUGUCCCGGUGGCCCUUGUUGAGUAUGAAGGAGAACAACAUGGUUUCCGAAAGGCUGAAAACAUAAAGUUUACAC